UUGUAGAAUAGAAUAAACAAU
Non-coding RNA from Caenorhabditis elegans, 21 nucleotides. Lineage: Eukaryota; Metazoa; Nematoda; Chromadorea; Rhabditida; Rhabditidae. The record is from Ensembl.